This 253-nucleotide ribosomal RNA is filed under the name uncultured prokaryote. Its description in RNAcentral is "partial 16S ribosomal RNA". It matches the Rfam family "Bacterial small subunit ribosomal RNA", at positions 524 to 776 of the family's 1533-position model. The record is from RNAcentral.
UACGUAGGGGGCAAGCGUUGUUCGGAAUUACUGGGCGUAAAGCGCGCGUAGGCGGUCUGGCAAGACAGAGGUGAAAUCCCCGGGCUCAACCUGGGAACUGCCUUUGUGACUGCAUAGCUAGAGUACGGUAGAGGGGGAUGGAAUUCCGCGUGUAGCAGUGAAAUGCGUAGAUAUGCGGAGGAACACCGAUGGCGAAGGCAAUCCCCUGGACCUGUACUGACGCUCAUGCACGAAAGCGUGGGGAGCAAACAGG